Lagopus muta (rock ptarmigan) is the source of this 1843-nucleotide long non-coding RNA. RefSeq lists it as uncharacterized. The transcript has 4 exons. NCBI's taxonomy places the organism in Eukaryota, Metazoa, Chordata, Aves, Galliformes, Phasianidae. The record is from RefSeq and is a predicted model, not a curated record.
CUGACUACCUGAGGGCUUCAUAGGUUUUCUGAAGGAAAUCUGUCCUUUCUCCAUCUGAGAUGGCUAUGUCGAUGUAGAAUCAUAGAAUAUUCUAGUCUGGACCCCCAGGGAUCAUCAAGUCCAGCUCCUGAUUCCAGAAAGUACCUCCCAAAAAUCAAAGUGUGUGUCUGAGAGUGUUGUCUUCUAUGAGAAGAGACCCCCAUCAGUGUUGUUCUGGGAAGGUCAUGCCAGAUGUUUGCAGUAAUAAAUGGAGCCUAUGAAUCUUAAUACAGACACAGGAAUCUGCGGUGUGGACUUCUACGGCUGAAGGAAAUGAAUCCUGAUGAAAGUACACCAAUAAUAAGAAGUUAGCAGAGAAUUUUCCAAACAGAACAUUUAUCAUGUCUACAGUAAUGAUACACAGUGGUCCAAGGAGGUUGUAGAACUGCUAAAAAGAUUCAAGAUUAUAAUACCAUUUUCCCACUGGAAAGGGGAUUGUUGGAAAAAACAUCUGCUUAGAAAAGACCAAAUUGUCACCUUUCUCAUCAUCACAUUAGUGCUGUUUUUUGUUUGCAGCUGCACAAUCUCAAAAUGUUGUCUGCCAAAUUGCUGUACUUUUGGCUUAUUCUUUUGGUUUAGAGAUUGGGAUUUAAAGGUGUAAUUAUUAAACUAGUGGGAAGCAUUGUUUUAAUAGAAGACACAUAGUAUUUACUGCAUGUUGUCAGGUUUGAUAAUCCUGGCAAGCAAAAGACUUCUCACUUUUCAAGUAAUAACUUGAAUACAUUUAUCUUCUUAAUAAGGCCCUCAAAUACUGUACCAUGUUUCCAAGCUCCUCCAUUGCAGUGAUGACGUGUAUAGGAAGGAGAACUAUGGUAGGUACUGUGCAGUUACUCUACGUUUAAAAAUGGUUGUGAGGGAUUUCUAGGACUUUUGUACCCUGAAACAUAGGAAGCUUCAUAUUUUGAAACAUCUCUCCCCUUCCUGCUGCACCUGAGAAUGGCUCCUUGUUUGAAUCUCCCUUGAACUGUCCAGAUUUUUUUUAUGUUAUCUUGGAGCUGACUGUCAUAGUGAGCCAAUAAUUAAGUGGGUGAUGUAUAACUACACAAGAAGAGGGUCGAUCUUGUAUUCACUUUCUAUGAAACCCUGAUGAAUUUAAGGCCCAGAGAGAAUCUUUAUCAUCUUCAACUCUUCUGGCCCCUAAAUCCUGUCUGACAUGCUACAGUGGAGGGUGAGUAAGCAAGGUUUUCUGCAGUACUAACACUAAUUUGUUAAUAGAAUACCAAUUAUUCCAUUAUCUUAUUUGUUCUAUUUUGAAUCCUACAAAACUCAUUUAUAUAAGACAGCUACUGAUUAACAUAAUGCUACAGCAUGAAGCAGUAGAAAUGCCACAAUAAAUAUUUGCUUAAUGUGUUUUUGUAAUACAUAUAACUGUUUUUAGAAAGGCAGACUGAUUACAUUAAUUUUUGUUGGAAAGUAUUAAAGUAUAGACAAUCUUAUUAGUGUAAUGAACCUAAGCUUAUAGCUGAUGUUACAUGACAGGGAAGGCGAGGUUAUUGGGAAGACUUUGUGUGCAUAUAUGGUGCAAGUUAUCCUUAAGUACAAAUGAAGAGAUAAAUUUGUUAAGUAUGUAUGUUUUACAGGCUUGAAGAAGUUUUUUUCUUUUAAUUAAUUUGCUGGACUUCACUGAUUUUUACCAAUCAGUUAAGUAUCUCAUGAAAAUGUUUGGAAUAACUUAUUUUAAAAUGACCUUUUCAGUAACAAGCCGAGUAAGCUCAAGUACCAAAAUACCAUCUUCCUGUACAUGAUCCUGCUUGCAGCAUAGAAGAACUAACCCUGUAUCUUGAAAAAUCAUCCUCAUUAGGAC